AUUGAACGCUGGCGGCGUGCCUAACACAUGCAAGUCGAGCGGUAACAGGUGUAGCAAUACAUGCUGACGAGCGGCGGACGGGUGAGUAACGCUUGGGAAUCUGCCUAUUAGUGGGGGACAACCCGGGGAAACUCGGGCUAAUACCGCAUACGCUCUACGGAGGAAAGCCGGGGACCGCAAGGCCUGGCGCUAAUAGAUGAGCCCAAGUCGGAUUAGCUAGUUGGUAGGGUAAGGCCUACCAAGGCGACGAUCCGUAACUGGUCUGAGAGGACGACCAGUCACACCGGAACUGAGACACGGUCCGGACUCCUACGGGAGGCAGCAGUGGGGAAUAUUGGACAAUGGGCGAAGGCCUGAUCCAGCGACGCCGCGUGGGUGAAGAAGGCCUGCGGGUUGUAAAGCCCUUUCAGUGGGGAAGAAAGGCCUCGACCUAACACGUCGGGGUCUUGACGUAACCCAUAGAAGAAGCACCGGCUAACUCUGUGCCAGCAGCCGCCGCCGUAAG
RNAcentral lists this ribosomal RNA (505 nucleotides) under uncultured bacterium. RNAcentral describes it as "bacterial SSU rRNA". It matches the Rfam family "Bacterial small subunit ribosomal RNA", at positions 29 to 524 of the family's 1533-position model. The record is from RNAcentral.